AGGCCACUGCUGCUCAUUAAAAAAGAUAAAAGAAAGAAAUAGCAGCCCAUUUUUCUUCUUCUGAAAGUAGCGAAAAAACAAAAAGAAAGAGGACAGAGACAACAGAUCCCCACUAGACAAAUAAACCCUAGCCGCCUCCUUCCCCUUCUUCACUCUUCUCUUCUCACCUCUCCCAUUGAUUUAAAAUUUUUAAUUUUUGUAUUGAGAUCUGAAAGCUAAUUCUUUUUCCUGAUUUUUCAAAAGAGCUAUGGAAUCCAAACCGAUGGUUGCUUUUCUCCAUUCUAGUAUUUGAGUUCCUCCCUAGAGUUUUGGCCUCUAUUUGAUGUGGGUUGCUAUUUUUGCUGCUGCCGAGUUACUUUUUGCGAAAUUAGUUGAACGGCGAGGUUUCGAGCUCCGAUCAGCAGUCAAUUUCCUGUUUUGUCCGACUUUGAAGUACAGAUGUAAUAUUUAAAACAAAGUUCGACAAUACAAAGGUCCAUCCUUCUUCCUCUUUACGAAUUAUUGGCUAUUUCGUUACAUUUUUUUAAUAUGUUAUUAUGUUUUCUCUAUAUGAACGACCACAUGAGAAUGUUAAUCUGUAUAAUUAUUUAAAUGUUAAUAAGCUAUGUUUGCUUCUCUACAUUGUAAAUAGCUAGAUCUGAAUGAGUUCAUGUUUUUUGUUUCAUUAAUAUUUAUCGUUUUGCUUUAUGAGUGAUUUUGUUGGAAUUGAAAAAUAAUACGGUAGAGUUAAGUUCAGAUGUUCUUCUUAGAGAUUUCUUUAAUAUUAAUGGGUCACGUGCUUUUUGACUUAAAACAUUGAUAAUUGGAUUUAAGAUUAAUUAUUGAUGAAAUUAUUUCAAUAAAAUAGUAGGGAGUUUGCUUUCGUUCUUCUUGGAUGAUAACGACAAUGAAUCCUGUUAAGUUUAGUUGGAUCUACCUACAGCUAGUCUAUUUUUUUAUGUCUUUAAAUAAUUAUACGUAAAAAUAAUAGAAACAUUAGCAAGCCUUUAGCACAAAGUUAAUAAGUUGCAACACUAGCUCUAAUUUCAAAUACCUCUUUUAAAUAAGUUUAAUAACCCUUAGCAUUGAAUCUUAUACUCUCCCGAUAAACAUCCAUAAUCUUUUGGCCUCAUACUAAUCCCAAAUGUAGCAAGAAUUAACAUCGCUGUUUUAGGCGUGCUCCAAUUAAUAAUUAAAUAUCAUGAUUAUAGGUACGGUUCCCGUGACAUAGAUGGGAUACGUAACCCCAAAUACAAAGUGCACGUUCACGCGACUUGACCAAUAAACUUUGAAUAGUAGUAAAUAUGUUAUUGAUUGUGUACGUACGCAUGACAUGAUUCUUGACACGCCAAAUAAAGUGAGUACACCUACGCGUGACUUGUUUCAAGAUAAUUUUCAUAAUUCUAAUCAAGAAAUAAAAUCGGACAUAGGUAAAACAUGAAAGCCAAUACAACACAGUUUAUCCAAAACAUUAUAUAAGCCAAAUGUAGUCAAUAAAGCGACCAUGCUAGAACUACGGGACUCGAAAAAUGCCUUACACCUUCUCCCCGGUCAACAGAAUUUCUUACCCCGACUUUAUUUUCGGAAACCAAUAAUAAUGGAGUCAAAUCUUCCUUUGACUAGGGAUUCAAAUAAAAGGUGACUUGGAACACCCAAAAACUCUAUUCCAAGUGACGACUCAUUAAAUAAAAUAAUCCCUACUCAAGUUUGUCACUUUAAUUGGAAAAACUCUUUAACUCAAAUCAAUUCACACAUAAUAUAUAUCUUUUCAGGGUAAAAAGGUGUGUGACACUGAGUAUGUAAGGUAAUAAAAUAAUUGAACGUAUUUGGGAGUCAAAGAUAAUCGAAGGUAUGCUUACAUGUUAAUACUGACUCAACUCUUUCAAUAUAGUAAGUAAAAUAGCUAUCUGACCCUAGAAGGCUAGGUACGAUGUAACUGCUCGGUCGUAGUAGGCGCACUCAUAGGCACUCGACNNNNNNNNNNNNNNNNNNNNNNNNNNNNNNNNNNNNNNNNNNNNNNNNNNNNNNNNNNNNNNNNNNNNNNNNNNNNNNNNNNNNNNNNNNNNNNNNNNNNNNNNNNNNNNNNNNNNNNNNNNNNNNNNNNNNNNNNNNNNNNNNNNNNNNNNNNNNNNNNNNNNNNNNNNNNNNNNNNNNNNNNNNNNNNNNNNNNNNNNNNNNNNNNNNNNNNNNNNNNNNNNNNNNNNNNNNNNNNNNNNNNNNNNNNNNNNNNNNNNNNNNNNNNNNNNNNNNNNNNNNNNNNNNNNNNNNNNNNNNNNNNNNNNNNNNNNNNNNNNNNNNNNNNNNNNNNNNNNNNNNNNNNNNNNNNNNNNNNNNNNNNNNNNNNNNNNNNNNNNNNNNNNNNNNNNNNNNNNNNNNNNNNNNNNNNNNNNNNNNNNNNNNNNNNNNNNNNNNNNNNNNNNNNNNNNNNNNNNNNNNNNNNNNNNNNNNNNNNNNNNNNNNNNNNNNNNNNNNNNNNNNNNNNNNNNNNNNNNNNNNNNNNNNNNNNNNNNNNNNNNNNNNNNNNNNNNNNNNNNNNNNNNNNNNNNNNNNNNNUAUAUAUAUAUAUAUAUAUAUAUAUGCCCGAUGUACUUCAACCUUAAGCUAAUCGAAACCAACUGAAACUCAAGGUCACUUCACCUGGAAAUAACCCCUGAUCAUGCCCAGCUCUAGUCCUAAAAAGGAUAAGCGAUCGCUGCAAAUAUAAUCCUGUCUAAGAGUCCGGAGUCGGAUCCCAGAGAAAACUAAGGUUUAGCUACAACUGUUGACCAUCACUAAGAAGACAAGCUCGAAUAAUUUCUAAGUUAUAAAUAUAAAGAUUCUUAUGUUAAACUAUUUAGCUGAAUUAAUAACUAAAGAUACUAAGGGAUGGAGACAAGAUUAAGGAUGUCUGGUGUUAAGAUUUCCUCAAUUAUCGGAAUCCUUACUACUACGUCUUCUUUUAUUUCGUCUAAUUAUUCUCUGCCAAUCGUGAGUAUUUCAUGUGUCAUAAUUCUCUCUCAAGCAACUAUCAUAGUUUACUAGACAUAUUCUCUCAAACUAUACUAGUUGGCACUAAUUCACCGCUCACUACAAUCGUACCAAGGUUUCAUUAUCUCUAGUCCUGCCUUUAAACCCUUCGUAUUGAUCUCUCACAUACGUUAGGAGUGAUGUUGUUAAGAAAUUUCCUAAAUAUGUACCCUCUCUCAAGCAAUACAUACUAAAUAGGCACAAUCAAUUGAUGGUCAUUCAAUCAACAACAAUAAACACGUAGUUGAACAAGUAGAGAAAUCCAAUGGCUCAAUUAUAUAAAAACAGAAUAAGAAUUCAUCCUAUAAAAGGUUCCAUCAACAUCCUAGAUAACAAAUUAGCUAUCCAUAAUAGUAUGCAAAACUACAAUACUAGAAUUCAUAACCAAUAAUGGAAAUAGGAAGAAGAAAGUAAAAAACUCGUAGAAGAAUUCUCCGUCUUACUCCUACCGUGUUCUUGCCUCCUUAGGUCGAAUUCCCUUUCCAAAAACGUCCUCCCUCUCUAAAAAAAUAUCCUUCCUUCUUAGAAAUGUUUAGGGAGUAUUUAUAGGCUAGGGUGAAGUCUCUCAAUCCAAAUCCGGGCCAAAGCCUUUAAAUUCAUGCACUUUUGAUCACCGGGAUAUAGACCUCGCGAGGCCAGGCUUAUAGCGCGGUCGGUCUGGCUACAGAGUUGGAUACGUCUAGCCUGUCGCGUGGUCAAGAUGGAUAAAUAGCUGGCUAUGCUUGGCCUGUAGCACAGUCAAGCUAGCUAUAGAUCUAGCUAUACUUGGCCUUUAGCACGGUAAAGAUGGCUACAAAGCUGGCUAUGCUUGGCCUGUAGCCAAGCUUGGAUCUUCGUGAUUUUGUGCUCUUUUCUCGUAUUUUUGUCCUCUUUUUGUGUAACAUUCACUCGGCUUUUUCUUUCGAUGCACCUACACAUAAAACAACAUAAUUUAGCUCAAAGGUAGCUCAAUUAAUCACUAAACCAACAAAAUAUAGGGCAAGUAAUGUACUAAAAGUAUAGCAUUUUGGCCAAACAUCAUCACCCCACACUUAGAUAUUUCUCGUCCUCGAGUAAACCACUAAUUCAUAUUAAUCUACAACACUUUAUUUUUUUAACACAUCCGAAGCAUACCAUACUUAUGACUAUGGGUGAUAGCAACAAUUAAACUUUAGAAUAUGCCUUCAAUACACACUUCUCUUUACUUUAUGCCAUACUUCAAAAGUUUAUUCAACACCAAGACAACAUGCUCAUAACAAUCACAGUCUCACAAACCGAAUCAAUAUCGAAAUGCAUUUGUGGAUUGAACACUUAAUAUCAUAAAGACAUCUAAUAACGUCCCCUAUCCCUUGUGAAAUCAUAUGCCCUCACAACAAGAGCAAAGGAGUAAGUCAAAUCCACACACUCGAAUCAAAUGCUCAAAUAUUUUUUAGGGCAUCAGAUAAAUAAAAGACAUUCCUCACACUCACAAAUAAGUCACAUGCAUGCACAAAGUACCAUAGGCUUUCCCUUUAUGUAAAUCUCUACUAAUGUAGGCCCGCUCGAUCUAAAAUCAAGUAGGAUUUUUUUCUGGUUGUAACGUGGGCUAAGAGGACAGGUAGGAUAUGUUUUGAAAUAUUGACUAAUCCUCCUAAGCAUUAACACAUCACAUAUUUCUUUACGCACAAAUAUUUCAACAUAACUUCAAUUUCAUAAACAAUAUCACUCACAAUACUUUAAUUCAUACCCACUGUAAUGACACGACCGGUCGUUUUGCUUUCUAGUCCCCGUUUCCCUAAAUAAGACUCUCUAUAUGUGAUUUUAUAAUUUUAUAACUGGUGGGGAUGGUUGAUUUAGGUUUGGAAGGGUUCGGGUUGAAAUCGGAACACUCAGUUCCUUAAUAGUGGCCUAAGGUGGCCAAGUUUGACUUGAGUCAAUAUUUUGAAUAAACGAUCUCAGAACCGGGAUUGAAGGUUCCAAUAAGUUUGGUUAAUGAUUUUGGAUUUUGGAGCGUGCCCGGAUGUCGAUUUGGAGGUCCGUAGGUCAUUUGGCUUGAAUUAGCGAAAGUUAGAAAGUUGAAGGUUUGGAAGGUUGAGAAGUUUGACCGGGAAUUGACAUUAUUGAUAUUGGGGUUGGAUUUCAAUUCCCAAAGUUGGAAUAGGUCCGUUAUAUCAUUUAUGACUUGUGUGCAAAAUUUGAGGUCAAUCAAAGUUGUUUUGGUAUGAUUCGGUGUAGGUUUUGGAAGUCAGAUGUUCAUAGUUUCAAUACGCUUGAAUUGGGUUAAGAUUCAUAGAAUCGACGUUGUUUGAUGUGAUGUGUAGUCCGAAUAGGUCUCUUAUGUGUUUUGGAACUUUUUUGUGUACUCAAACGGGGGCCCGGGUGUGAUUCUGAUUGAAUAAGAUCAUUUUGGACUUUGGUUGAUUUGUUGAACUUGCUAUUGUUCUGGUGUCAUUGCAUCUGUGGAGGGUUUGGUUGUAGAUGCAUGAGGAUUGAUCGAAGAAGCGGCCUGGAUUGAGCUUGGCAGUGAUCUCAGAUUUGAGGUUCUUUCUGCAUCUUCGAGCUCGCCUGUGCGAGGAAAUUGAUCGCAGAUGCGAAUGAGGUCAGGGAGGCCUGGGGUUGCAGGAGCAGAGGUCUCUCCACAGGCGCAAGUGCGUAGGUGCGCCCAGUCUAUGCAGAAGCGGAUGCGCAGGUGCGCAUGUAUCUACGCAGAAACGGACUUGCCCGACCCUAGUGGGAACCGCAACUGCGAUGAUUUUUCCACUGGUGGGGCCUAACAGGUGUGACCAUAUGCCCGCGGAAGCGAGGAUCGCUGGGUAGUGAGUGCAUUUAAUCCGGGACUUAAGAUAUUUUCCACACACCUUCACUUGGUCUUGGGCAAUUUUGGUAGCAUGUUUGAAGGGGAUUCUCAUCAACAACACAAGGUAAGUAAACUCCACCCAUUUUUAAUUUAAAUACACGGAUUAUAGGUAGAUUAAACAUGGAAAAUUAGUAAAACUUGUGGGAUUUUGUGAAGAACCUAGGGUUUAAGUACAAUUGAGAUUUGAUCAUGGAUUCAGUGAUGAAAAUUAUAAUAAACUAUAUAUUUGCGUUCGGGAGGUCAUGGGUAACAUUUAUAUUUGAAACUUUUCGGAAUCCGGGCACGUGGAAUCGGGGUGAAUUUUUAGGAGUCUUCCAAAUUAGGUUGGGUAACUACUAUAAUAGCUAAAUUAUGAACGUUUGAGCCUAUAUUUAUUUGUUUAAAUGACUUUUGAUUAUUUUUGGAGUCCUCGGCAUUAUUUGAGGAGUUCUAGUGAGGUUGAAGAACCAGAUUGAGGACUUAGAACCGAGGCAAGUCUCUUGAGGGAAUUUAUCCCCUUAGGUGCAACAAUUGUUGUGUGCUACUUGUUGUAGGGAGCUAUGUACGCACGAGGUGACGAGAGACUGUACGUAUCUAUAUUCAUGAUAUGUCCUGGUAGACUUAGAUUCACAUCAUUCCUUUAAUUGUGCAUUUAUGCCUAUCUUGUGCAUUAAAUUUCUUGAUUUUGACUGAGAUCAAAGUUUUUAAUAAAGAUAUCAGCUUAGCCUCUACUUUGGUAAAUUUGGGAAAUAUUUGAUAAACUAUAGAUCUGUGUCUUCUCGUCUUGCACGUGCUUCCGCGAGCGAGGUAAAUUUCUCUACUCUUAUAGGAUCGGGUCAUUCGCCUAGGCAGUGACAUAAAUUAAUCUUAUGGGAUCGGACCGUUCGCCUCGGAAGAAUGGUAACACUACUCUUAUGGGGUCGGGUUGUUCGCCUCGACAGGUUGGUAACACUAUUCUUAUGGAAUCAGGCCAUUUGCCUCGGCAGUACUGAGUACAAUUAUUCCUAUGGGAUUAGGCCGUUCGCCUCGAUAGCUUCGUGCUUAAUAAUUAGAAUUGGGAUUGAUUUGGUAAUAAAUGAGUUAGUGCCUUCAAGGCCGAUUAUGACAUGUUUAGCGAAUUGAUAUACACUCAUGUAUGAAAUUACUGUAGUUACUUCUAUUUGCUUCGUUGCAACUUGUUGUACAUUCAACAUGUCUAUUUUAUGUAUUUUCAUUAUUAUUAGACCUCUAGUAACUGUCAAGUAGACCCCUCGUCAUUGCCCCUUCGAGGUUACACUAGAUACUUACUGGGUACGCGAUAUUUUGUGUACUCACGCUACACUUCUGCACUGAUGUGCAGACACUGAGACAAGUACUACACUUCUACACUGAUGAGCUACUUGCCUUGCUAUGAUCCGUAGCACCGGAGUCUCCCUCUACAUUGAUUAUUAUUUCUGUCUAUUACCUUUCAGACAGUAGUUGUAUUAGUUUUGUAUAUUCCCUAGAUUGCUCAUGCACUUGCGGCACCGGGUUUUGGAGACUUUUAGCAUUUAUGUAUUGUUGUACUUAUCAUUUCUAUCACUAUAAUAGAUGUAUUUAUCACGCUAGCAUUAUGUUGAGAAAAGAUUAUGUACGGUUGCAUGAAAUCUUAUUUAAUUUGUUCUUCUAAAAGUAAAACUUUUGUUUUAAGUGUUAAAAUGGGGGUAAUUAAAUUAUAGUUUUACUUGUAGGCUUGCCUAAAGGCGGCGUUAGGUACUAUCGCGACCUAUUAUUGAUUUUGGGUAGAUACAACUUGUAAUCAGAGUUUUAGGUUCACAUAGGUCUCACAGGUCAUGAUCAAGCCUAGUAAAGUCUUGCGGAUCGACGCGGAGACGUUGAUACUUAUCUUCGAGAGGCUAUAGGGUCUUGGAAAACUUCUCUUUCUUCAUCUCCUAUCAUGCAGUUGAUAUUGUGCUAAGUAUCUUUCUAUUGAUCUCUUACAGAUUGUAAGAACGUACGCGGCGGAUGUACUAGGUGGUACAGUAGUUGCUCCCCCCGUUACAAGCGCCCGGGGGAGGGCUCCAACUGAUGUCAGAGGAUGAGGGCAUCCUAGAGUUGCUCCCGUGGUACCACCAAUGAAUCUAGUGGAAGAUCCUGUUAUUGAGUUACAGGAUGAGGUACCUGCAGCUUUGCCAGCCCCAACAGAUUUCAUGGACUCUAUGAUGCAGGCUAGUUUAUUUCCAGCAAACCCUAUCACAUCUCAGGCGAGAAGGGGAGCACAAACCCCUACUUCUCAUGCUCCAGGGCACGCUGCUUCCGUUUAUCAGACAACAGGUGCACUACUUGUGGGUGGAGCCCAGUAAGUUGCAACGGUUGUAUCAGUCGCGACCAUUAAUUAACCCAAGCAACUGGACAAAUGGACUAGACUUUGCCUCCCUACCUUUGGGAGUGAGCGGUCAGAGGACUCCCAGGAUUUCAUUGAUAAUGUGAAAAGAUAAGCUACGGAAUAUGGGGAUAUUGGAGUCCAACAAGGUGGACUUCACCACCUUUCAGCUUGAGGGCAAGGCCCGCAGAUGGUGGCAGGCUUACCUUCUUAGCAGGCUAGAAGGUUCACCUUCCUUGACUUGGGAUCAGUUUACGCAUCUGUUCUUGGAGAACUACAUACCACCUUCUGAGAGAGGAGCUUCGUGGUCUGUUUGAGCGACUCCGUCAGGGUCAUAUAUCUAUGACCAACUAUGAGGCGAGAUUCACUGACUUGUAUUGCCAUAUAGCUAUUAUACUCCCCAUAGACGUGGAGAGGGUGCAAAGUUUCAUUGCAGGUCUGCACCCUGAGACUCAGCUUUCUAUGGCACGUGAGGCAGAUAUGGGGACUCCCUUUCAUCAGGUUAUGGAUAUAGCUCGGAGGAUCAAGCGUAUUUGCAACUGUGGCAGAGAGUUUGCACUGAGGUACAAGCGACCUCGGUAGUUUGGAGGAAUUAGUGGUGCCCCACCUGGGGGCAGAGGUUAGUUCAUGAGGGGUCAGUCUAAUAGGCCCAUGCAGUCAGCACCACCGCCUGCUCAGAGUGCUUCAGCACGACCCUACCUCAGUGCCAUUCAAGAGAGUACUUACUGUUCACUCUCUAUUCAGGGUCCCUCCAGUGGGUAUUGAGGUCAUCAGUGUCAGACUUCAUAUUAGUAGUCCACUGCUCCGAGGGGUUGUUUCGAGUGUAGGGAUCUUGGCCACGUGAAGAGGGUUUUUCCCAGAUUUUGGGGCAAGGCCGAGUAGCAGGACCAUCGGCCCAUGAUUAUCAUACCAGCUACUACACCGCCCACUAGGCUGGCUAGAGGUGGAGGGAAGGUGGGUAGGGGUCAUCCUAGAGGUGGAGGCCAGUCAGUUGGUGCUCUAGCUAGAUUAUAUGCUAUCCUUGCCAGGCCAGAGGCAAUCGCCUCCGAUGCAGUGAUCACAUGUACUAUUUCUAUCUGUCGUAGAGAUGCCUCGGUAUAAUUUCAUCUAGGAUAUACUUACUCUUAUGUUUCUUCUCUAUUUUGUCCUUAUCUGGAUGUGUCUCGCGAGUCCUUGGUCGUUCCUGUAUAUAUGUCCACGCCAGUGGGUGAUUCUAUUGUUGUGGAUCGGGCCUACCGGACCAGUGUGGUAACUUUCUGUGGAUAUGAGACCACAUCGGAUCUUUUAUCGCUCGAUAUGGUUGAUUUCAAGGUUAUCUUGGGCAUGGACUGGUUGUCCCCGUACCAUGCCAUUCUUGACUACUAUGCCAAGACUAUUACCUUGGUGAGGUCUGAGUUGCCCAGAUUAUAGUGGAAGGGUUCGUCUGUCGAUACUUCCAACCGGGUUAUUUCUUUCAUGAAGGCUUGACAUAUGGUCGAGAAGGGUUGUUUGGCCUACUUGGCCUUUGUUUGGGAUACUAGUGCUGUGACUCGUGCAUUAGAUUCAGUGUCGAUGGUACGAGUAUUUUCCGAUGUAUUUCUUGCUUAUCUACCAGGCAUGCCGCCGGAUCAGGAUAUCGAUUUCAGCAUUGAUUUGGUGUCAGGCACCCAGCUUAUCUCUACUUUGCCUUAUCAUAUGGCUCCCAAGGAGCUGACAUAGUUAAAAUACAGCUUCAGGAGUUGCUUGAUAAGGGGUUCAUUAGACCCAGUGUGUUGCCUUGGGGCGCACCGGUGUUGUUUGUGAAGAAGAAGGAUGGGAGUAUGCGGAUGUGCAUUAAUUACCGCCAGUUAAACAAAGUCACCAUCAAGAAUAAGUACCCAAUGCCAUGCAUCGAUGAUUUGCUUGACCGGUUGUAGGGUGCAAGGGUAUUCUCUAAGAUCGACUUAAGAUAUGGUAUAAUCAGUUGAAGAUUCGUGCUUCUGAUGAAGAUAGCUUUUCUAACUAGAUAUGGACACUAUGAGUUUUAGUGAUGUCCUUUGGCUUGAAUAACGCCCUGACUGCGUUUAUGGAUUUGAUGAACCGAGUGUUUAGGCCGUAUCUUGACUCACUUGUCAUUGUCUUCAUUGAUGACAUAUUGAUCUACUCGCGUAGUAUGGAGGAGCACGAGCUGUAUUUAAGGUUAGUGCUUCAGACCUUGCGGGAAUAGAAGCUUUACACUAAGUUCUCCAAGUACGAGUUCUGGUUGGAUUCUGUGGCUUUCUUGGGGCAUGUUGUAUCAGGUAAGGGUAUUAAGGUGGAUCCCAGAAAGAUUGAGGCAGUCCAGGGUUGGCCUCGUCCUACCACAGUGACCAAGAUCAGGAGUUUCUUGGGGUUGGUAGGUUAUUAUCGUCAGUUUGUGAAGGGUUUCUCAUUUAUUACAGCACCCUUGACUAGAUUGACCUAGAAGGCUGCUCCAUUCAGAUGGUCCAAUGAUUGCGAGGUGAGCUCUCAGAAGAUCAAGACCACUUUGACUACAUCACUAAUGUUAGUGUUGCCCUCCGGUUCAGGGAUGUAUACCGUGUAUUGCACCGCUUCGCGCAUUGGCUGGGGUUGUGUAUUGAUGCAGGAGGGGCAAUUUAUUACAUAUGCUUCACGUCAGCUGAAGCCCUACCGAGAAGAAUUACCCCGUGCAUUAUUUGGAGUUGGCCGCGAUAGUUCACACUCUCAAAAUCAGGAAGCAUUAUCUCUAUGGGGUGUCAUGUGAGGUUUACACCGAUCAGCAUAGCUUGCAGCAUUUGUUUAGGCAGAUGGACCUUAAUUUGAGGUAGCACAGGUGGCUUGAGUUACUGAAGGACUAUGAUAUUACCAUCUGGCAAAGGCCAAUAUGGUUGCAGAUGCCUUGAGCAGAAAGGCCGAGAGUAUAGGUUGUUUGGCAUUCAUUUUGGUAGAGGAAAGACCAUUAGCUUUGGACAUUUAGUCCUUAGUUAACAGACUUGUGAGGUUGGAUAUUUCAGAUCGCAGUUGAGUUAUUGCAUGUGUUGUGGCUCAGUCUUCAUUACUUGAGCGGAUCAAGGCUUGUCAGUAUGAUGAUUCUCACUUGUUGGUUCUCAGAGAGACGGUGCUACAGGGUAGUUCCAAAGAGAUUACUAUCGGUGAGGAUGGAGUUCUACGACUCCAGGGUCGCCUAUGUGUUCCUAAUGUUGAUGGCUUGAUUGAGAAUAUUCUAGAGGAGGUACACAGUUCACGGUAUUACAUCCAUCCAGGUGCUAUGAAGAUGUAUCACAACCUGAGGUAGAACUAUUGGUGGCGGCGGAUAAAGAAGCACAUAGUUGAGUAUGUAAUGAGGUGUUUGAAUUGCCAGCAGGUUAAAUAUGAGCACUAGAGGUCAGGUUCGUACUCCAGCAUAUGGUUAUACCAGAGUGGAGGUGCAAGCGCAUCACUAUGAACUUCGUAGUUGGGUUGCCGUGGAUGUUUAGAAAUUUUGAUUCUGUUUGGGUCAUUGUCGAUAGGCUGAUCAAGUCGACACACUUUAUUCCGAUGGUGACUACUUACUCUUCAGAGAGGUUGGCUCAGAUUUAUAUUCAGGAGAUUGUCCGAUUGCAUGAUGUGCCUGUUUCCAUAAUAUCAAAUAGAGGCCCUCAGUUCACUUCGCAUUUCUGGAGUGCAGUACAGAGUGUGUUGGGUACCCGAGUAGAGCUUAGCACAGACUUUCAUCCGUAGACCGACGGGUAGUUGGAGCAGACAGUUCAGAUUCUAGAGGAUAUGCUUAGAGCAUGUGUCAUCGACUUCGGAGAGCAGUGGGAUAGAUUCUUGCCCUUGGCCGAGUUUGCUUACAACAACAAUUAUCAGUCCCACAUCAAGAUGGCUCAAUUUGAGGCUUUAUAUGGUCGGCGAUGUCGUUCGCCCAUCGGAUGGUUUGAGCCCGGAGAGGCUAAUUUAUAUGGAACUGAUUUAGUGAAGGAUGCCUUGGAGAAGGUGCAGUUGAUUCAGGAGCGGCUAUGCACAACACAAUCCAGACAUAAGAGUUACGCGGACCAGAAGGUGCAUGAUCUAUCAUUUAUGGUGGGCGAGAAGGUUCUCUUGAAAGGUUCACCUAUGAAAGGCAUCAUGAGGUUCGAGAAAAAGGUUAAGCUGAGCCCAAUGUUUAUCAGCCCAUUUGAGGUGCUGAGGCAAGUUGGCGAGGUUGCUUGUGAGCUUUUUUUGCCUCCCAAUAUAUCGGGAGUACAUUCGGUCUUCCACGUGUCUAUGCUCCGAAGGUACCAUGCCGACAGGUCGCAUGUGUUAGAUUACAACACGGUUCACGUAGAUAAGAGUCUGGGUUAUGAGAAGGAGCCAGUUGCCAUUGAUGACAGGCACGUUUGCCAGUUGAGGUCCAAGAAUAUUUCUUCGAUAAAGGUUGAGUGGAGGGUAUAACCAGUCGAGGAAGCAACUUGGGAGGCCGAGGAGGACAUAAAGAGCAGAUAUCCGCACUUAUUCAACACUCCAGGUAUGAUUCAAUACCUAUUCGAGGACGAACGUUUGUUUAAGAGGUAGAUAAUGUGACGACCCAACCGGUCAUUUUGCUUUCUAGAUCCCUAUUCCCCUAAUUAAGACUGCCCAUAUGUGCUUUUACUAUUUUAUUACUGGCGGGGAUGGCUGGUUUAGGUUUGGAAGGGUUCGGGUUGAAAUCAAAAUACUUAGUUCCUUAAUAGUGGUCUAAGGUGGCCAAGUUUGACAUGAGUCAACAUUUUGAGUAAACGACCUCGGAACGGGGAUUUAAAGGUUCCAAUAGGUUCAUAUGAUGAUUUUGGACUUUAGAGUCUGUCCGGAUGUCGAUUUGGAGGGCUAUAGGUCGUUUCGGCUUGAAUUUGCAGAAGUUAGAAAGUUGAAGGUUUGGAAGGUUGAGAAAUUGGACCGAGAGCUGACUUAAAUCGGAUUUUGAUUCUGGAAGUUGGAAUAGGUCUUUCAUGUCAUUUAUGACUUGUGUGCAAAAUUUGAGGUCAAUCGGAGUUGUUUUGCUAUGAUUCAGCGUAGGUUUUGGAAGUUAGAUGUUCAUAGUUUUAAUAGGCUUGAAUUGGGUUGCGAUUCAUAUAAUCGAUGUUGUUUGAUGUGAUUUUUGGCCUCGAUUAGGUCUGUUAUGUGUUUUGGAACUUGUUGGUAAACUCAAACAGGGGUCUGGGGGCUCGGGUGUGAUUUGGAUUCAAUUGGAUCAUUUUGGACUUUGGUUGAUUUGUUAAACCUGCUGUUGUUCUGGUGUCAUCGCACAUGCGGAGGGUUUGGCCGCAGGUCCAUGAGGAUUGAUUGCAGAAGCGUUCUGGAGUGAUCUUGGCAGUGAUCGUUGAUUCAAGGUUCUUUCCGCAUCUGCAAGCUCGCCGGUGCGAGGAAAUUGGCCGUAGAUGUGAAUGAGGCCAGUGAGCCCUGGGGUCGCAGGAGCGGAAACCCCUCCGCAGGCGCGAGUGCAGCCAGUUUCCACAAAAGAGGAAUCGUAGGUGAACAUGUUUCUCUACAGAAACAGACUUUCCCGACCUUAGUGGGAACUGCACCUGCAAUGCCUUUUCCGCAGCUGCGACCCUAUGCCCGCAGAAGCAAGGAUCGCUGGGCAGUGAGUGCAUUUAAUCGGGACUUAGGCUAUUUUCCACACACUUUCACUUGGUCUUGGUUGAUUUUGAUAGCUAUUUUGAGGGGGAUUCUCAUCAACAAUACAAGGUAAGUAAACUCCACCCAUUUUCAAGUUAAAUACGAGCAUUAUAGAUAGAUUAAACAUGUAAAAUUAGUGAAACUUGUGGGAUUUUGUGAAUAGCCUAAGGUUUAAGUAAAAUUGAGAUUUGAUCAUGGAUUUGGUGGUUGAAAUUGGAAUAAAUUAUAUAUUUGAGUUCGGGAGAUCAUGGGUAACAUUUAUAUUCGAAUAUUUUCGGAAUCCGGGCACGUAGGCCCGGAUGUGAAUUUUUAGGAAUCUUCUAAAUUUAGUUGGGUAACUACUAUAAUAUCUAAAUUAAAAACUUUCGAGCAUGUGUUUAUUAGUUUAUACGACUUUUAAUUAGUUUCAAAGUCCUCGGCGUCGUUUGAGGAGUUCUAGUGAGGUUGAAGAACCGAAUUGAGGACUUGGCACCGAUGUAAGUCUCUUGCCUAACCUUGUAAGAGGUAAUUUAUCACCUUAGGUGUAAUAAUUGUUGUGUGCUACUUGUUGUGGGAAUCUACGUACGCACGAGGUGACGAGAAUUCGUACGUAGGGAUAUUCAUGAUAUGUUCGGGUAGACUUAGAUUCACAGUAUGCCUUUAAUUGUGCUAUUCAAUUUUCUUGAUUUUGACUGAGAUCUAAGUUUUUAAUAAAGAUAUCGCCUUAGCCUCUACUUAGGUAAAGUUGGGAAAUAUUUAAUAAACUGUAGAUCCGUGUCUUCUCGUCUCGCACGUGCUUCCGCAAGUGAGGUAAACUCCUCUACUCUUAUUGGAUUAGGCUGUUCGCCUCGGUAGUGACAUAAAUUACUCUUAUGGGAUCGGGAUGUUCACCUCGCCGGGAUGGUAACACUACUUUUAUGGGAUCGGGUCGUUCGCCUCGGCAAGUUGGUAAUACUACUAUUAUGGGAUCGGGCCAUUCGCCUCGGCAGUACUGAGUACUACUAUUCCUAUGGGAUCAGGUCGUACGCCUCAGCAAUUUGCUUAAUAAUUGGAAUUGGAAUUUGUUUGGUAAUAAAUGAGUUAGCACCUUCAGUGCCGAUUAUGAAAUGUUUAGCGAAUUGAUCUAGACUCAUGUGUGGAAUUAUUGUAGUUACUUUUAUUUGCUUCGUUGCUAUUUGUUGUACACUCACCAUAUCUAUUUUACGUAUUUCCAUUAUUAUUUGACCUCUAGUAAGUGUCAAGUCGACUCCUCGUCACUAAUUCUUCGAGGUUAGACUAGAUACUUACUGGGCACAUAUUAUUUUUCUUACUCAUGCUACACUUCUGCACUGAUGUGCAAGUACUGAGACAGGUACUACCAGUGGUCACGCGGGCGUGUAGCCGAUCUUCUACGGAGGCUUAGUGGUGAGCUACUUACCUUGCUACGAUCCGCAGCACCAGAGUCUUCCUCUACCUUGAUUAUUAUUUCUGUCUACUACCUUUCAGAUAGUAGUUGUAUUAGUUUUGUAUAUUCCCUAGAUUGCUCAUGCACUUAUGGCAGCAGGUUUUGGGGACUUUUAGCAUUUAUGUACUGUUGUAUUUAUUAUUUCUAUCACUAUAAUGGAUGUACUUAUCACGCUAG
RNAcentral lists this long non-coding RNA (15294 nucleotides) under Nicotiana tabacum (common tobacco). RNAcentral's name for it is "long non-coding RNA (NTAB_LNC014942)". The record is from RNAcentral. Lineage: Eukaryota; Viridiplantae; Streptophyta; Magnoliopsida; Solanales; Solanaceae.